Molecule: signal recognition particle RNA, 310 nt
Filed under: Phascolarctos cinereus (koala)
Lineage: Eukaryota; Metazoa; Chordata; Mammalia; Diprotodontia; Phascolarctidae
Description: Metazoan signal recognition particle RNA (ENSPCIG00000008790.2)
Rfam family: Metazoan signal recognition particle RNA
About the family: The signal recognition particle (SRP) is a universally conserved ribonucleoprotein. It is involved in the co-translational targeting of proteins to membranes.
Source: RNAcentral
CCUGGUGUGGGGGUACACACUAUAAUCCCAGUUGCAAAGGAAGUUGAGGCUGGAAGAUCUCUUGAGUUCAGAAGUAUUAGGUUGUAUUGGGCUAUGCUGUUCAGGUAUGCCCACUAAAGUCAGCAUUAAUGUGGUGGGAUCACAGGAAGAAAAGGGCAUGCGGGGGUGCUACCAGGUUGCCUAAGGAGGGGCAAAUAGAUCCAGGUCCAAAACAGAGCAGAUCAAAGCUCCUGCAUUGAUCUGUAAUUGGAUCUGGCUGUGAGUAGCCCUUGCACUUCCAUCUUGAGUGAGACAGGGAGACUCAGUCUUA